UCAGAGUUGCUGACACCAUUUCCGGAUACUCACAACACUCAUUUAGCCCCAGAGCAGAUGGAAACCUCAUAGCAUCCUCACAAAGUGAGGAAAAAAAUAAGCCAAAGGAGAAAACUGUUAUGAAAGGCAAUGUAACAACUAUUUACAAUCAUAAGCUCUGGAAUGGAAAAGAUCUGACUUUGAACUGCAACUCCACUGCUGACCAGCCUCAUGAUCUUAAAGAACUUAUAUAACAUCUCUGUGCCUCAGUUUUCCCAUCUAUACAAGGGGGCUAAUAAAGUACCUAUCACACAGGGAUGGCAAAACACAAAAAAUAAUAUAUGCAAAUAAACAUUGCAUUAUACAUAA
Callithrix jacchus (white-tufted-ear marmoset) is the source of this 348-nucleotide long non-coding RNA. RefSeq lists it as uncharacterized. NCBI's taxonomy places the organism in Eukaryota, Metazoa, Chordata, Mammalia, Primates, Cebidae. The record is from RefSeq and is a predicted model, not a curated record.